UUGCUCCAUGUAAUGUGGCAUCUGGCAUAAAACUUGUGCCAAAUCAAUAUGCAGAUCCAACUCAGAUCUUCUGGCGACCCCUAGUGAAAACAAGGGGGAAG
Molecule: long non-coding RNA, 101 nt
Organism: Thalassophryne amazonica
Lineage: Eukaryota; Metazoa; Chordata; Actinopteri; Batrachoidiformes; Batrachoididae
Exons: 3
Source: RefSeq, a predicted model, not a curated record